Molecule: small nuclear RNA, 107 nt
Organism: Myotis lucifugus (little brown bat)
Lineage: Eukaryota; Metazoa; Chordata; Mammalia; Chiroptera; Vespertilionidae
Source: Ensembl
GUGCUCGCUUUGGCAGCACCUAUACUAAAAUUGGAACGAUAUAGAAAAGCUUAGCAUGGCCCCUGCACAAGGAUGGCAUGCAAAUUCAUGAAGUGUUCCUUUUUUUA